RNAcentral lists this ribosomal RNA (375 nucleotides) under Aspergillus terreus. RNAcentral describes it as "partial 18S ribosomal RNA". The stretch from base 191 to 344 matches the Rfam family "5.8S ribosomal RNA". Lineage: Eukaryota; Fungi; Ascomycota; Eurotiomycetes; Eurotiales; Aspergillaceae. The record is from RNAcentral.
AGAAUCGAGUGCGGGUCUUUAUGGCCCACCUCCCACCCGUGACUAUUGUACCUUGUUGCUUCGGCGGGCCCGCCAGCGUUGCUGGCCGCCGGGGGGCGACUCGCCCCCGGGCCCGUGCCCGCCGGAGACCCCAACAUGAACCCUGUUCUGAAAGCUUGCAGUCUGAGUGUGAUUCUUUGCAAUCAGUUAAAACUUUCAACAAUGGAUCUCUUGGUUCCGGCAUCGAUGAAGAACGCAGCGAAAUGCGAUAACUAAUGUGAAUUGCAGAAUUCAGUGAAUCAUCGAGUCUUUGAACGCACAUUGCGCCCCCUGGUAUUCCGGGGGGCAUGCCUGUCCGAGCGUCAUUGCUGCCCUCAAGCCCGGCUUGUGUGUUGG